This 543-nucleotide ribosomal RNA is filed under the name Kockovaella mexicana. Its description in RNAcentral is "LSU rRNA". It matches the Rfam family "Eukaryotic large subunit ribosomal RNA", at positions 90 to 621 of the family's 3401-position model. The record is from RNAcentral. Lineage: Eukaryota; Fungi; Basidiomycota; Tremellomycetes; Tremellales; Cuniculitremaceae.
CGAGUGAACAGGGAAGAGCUCAAAUUUGUAAUCUGGCGUCCCUUGGGCGUCCGAGUUGUAAUCUAUAGAAGCGUUUUCCGUGCUGGACCAUGUCCAAGUCCCUUGGAACAGGGUAUCAAAGAGGGUGACAAUCCCGUGCUUGACAUGACGACCAGUGCUCUGUGAUACGCUCUCUACGAGUCGAGUUGUUUGGGAAUGCAGCUCAAAAUGGGUGGUGAGUUCCAUCUAAAGCUAAAUAUUGGCGAGAGACCGAUAGCGAACAAGUACCGUGAGGGAAAGAUGAAAAGCACUUUGGAAAGAGAGUUAAACAGUACGUGAAAUUGUUGAAAGGGAAACGAUUGAAGUCAGUCGUGUCCGAGGGGUUCAGCCGGUCAUGCCGGUGUAUUCCCCUCGGAUGGGUCAACGUCAGUUUGGACCGGUGGAAAAGGGCAGUUGGAAGGUAGCAGCUCCGGCUGUGUUAUAGCCUUCUGUCGCACACGCCGGUCUAGACUGAGGCAUGCAGCUCGCCCUCGUGGCUGGGGUUCUCCCACAUUCGAGCUUAGG